Non-coding RNA from Triticum aestivum (bread wheat), 135 nucleotides. The record is from Rfam. NCBI's taxonomy places the organism in Eukaryota, Viridiplantae, Streptophyta, Magnoliopsida, Poales, Poaceae.
CUUGUACUCCCUCCGUCCCAAAAUUCUUGUCUUAGAUUAGUCUAGAUACAGAUGUAUCUAAUACUAAAACGUGACUUGAUAUAUCCGUAUUUAGACAAAUCUAAGACAAGAAUUUUGAAACAGAGGAAGUACUAG